UGGGGAAUAUUGCACAAUGGGCGCAAGCCUGAUGCAGCCAUGCCGCGUGUAUGAAGAAGGCCUUCGGGUUGUAAAGUACUUUCAGCGAGGAGGAAGGCGUUGUGGUUAAUAACCGCAGCGAUUGACGUUACUCGCAGAAGAAGCACCGGCUAACUCCGUGCCAGCAGCCGCGGUAAUACGGAGGGUGCAAGCGUUAAACGGAAUUACUGGGCGUAAAGCGCACGCAGGCGGUCUGUCAAGUCGGAUGUGAAAUCCCCGGGCUCAACCUGGGAACUGCAUCCGAAACUGGCAGGCUAGAGUCUUGUAGAGGGGGGUAGAAUUCCAGGUGUAGCGGUGAAAUGCGUAGAGAUCUGGAGGAAUACCGGUGGCGAAGGCGGCCCCCUGGACAAAGACUGACGCUCAGGUGCGAAAGCGUGGGGAGCAAACA
Molecule: ribosomal RNA, 427 nt
Filed under: uncultured bacterium
Lineage: Bacteria
Description: partial 16S ribosomal RNA
Rfam family: Bacterial small subunit ribosomal RNA
Source: RNAcentral